RNAcentral lists this ribosomal RNA (253 nucleotides) under uncultured bacterium. RNAcentral describes it as "partial 16S ribosomal RNA". It matches the Rfam family "Bacterial small subunit ribosomal RNA", at positions 524 to 776 of the family's 1533-position model. The record is from RNAcentral.
UACGAAGGGGGCUAGCGUUGCUCGGAAUUACUGGGCGUAAAGGGCGCGUAGGCGGACAUUUAAGUUAGAGGUGAAAGCCCAGGGCUCAACCCUGGAAUAGCCUUUAAUACUGGAUGUCUUGAGUUCGGGAGAGGUGAGUGGAAUGCCGAGUGUAGAGGUGAAAUUCGUAGAUAUUCGGCGGAACACCAGUGGCGAAGGCGACUCACUGGCCCGAUACUGACGCUGAGGCGCGAAAGCGCGGGGAGCAAACAGG